GACUUUUGCUCCUGUACGUACUUCCCAACUUCAACGAGGUUGCCACAAGAAGAACACUUCUCCGGUGGGUUUAGGGUCAGGUAUUUGGAGUGGAGGCUACGAUUUCAAAUAUAUACGAGCAUAGAAGAAGGGUGUGCGGGUGAGGCCGUGAGGGCACCGUCGGUAGAGCAUGGCCGACGGGCAAGGUCGAGAGUCGAAACAGCCCCGAGAGAGUCAACAGAGU
Molecule: long non-coding RNA, 223 nt
Filed under: Setaria italica (foxtail millet)
Lineage: Eukaryota; Viridiplantae; Streptophyta; Magnoliopsida; Poales; Poaceae
Description: long non-coding RNA (SITA_LNC000725)
Source: RNAcentral